GGAGAGAUGGCUCAGUGGUUAAGAGCACUGACUCCUCUUCCAGAGGUCCUGAGUUCAAUUCCCAGCAACCACA
RNAcentral lists this transfer RNA (73 nucleotides) under Mus musculus (house mouse). Its description in RNAcentral is "tRNA-Arg". Lineage: Eukaryota; Metazoa; Chordata; Mammalia; Rodentia; Muridae. The record is from RNAcentral.